Molecule: ribosomal RNA, 468 nt
Filed under: uncultured bacterium
Lineage: Bacteria
Description: partial 16S ribosomal RNA
Rfam family: Bacterial small subunit ribosomal RNA
Source: RNAcentral
GACGAACGCUGGCGGCGUGCUUAACACAUGCAAGUCGAACGGAAAGGCCCUGCUUUUGUGGGGUGCUCGAGUGGCGAACGGGUGAGUAACACGUGAGUAACCUGCCCUUGACUUUGGGAUAACUUCAGGAAACUGGGGCUAAUACCGGAUAGGAGCUCCUGCUGCAUGGUGGGGGUUGGAAAGUUUCGGCGGUUGGGGAUGGACUCGCGGCUUAUCAGCUUGUUGGUGGGGUAGUGGCUUACCAAGGCUUUGACGGGUAGCCGGCCUGAGAGGGUGACCGGCCACAUUGGGACUGAGAUACGGCCCAGACUCCUACGGGAGGCAGCAGUGGAGAAUAUUGCACAAUGGGCGGAAGCCUGAUGCAGCAACGCCGCGUGCGGGAUGACGGCCUUCGGGUUGUAAACCGCUUUCGCCUCUGACGAAGCGUGAGUGACGGUAAUGGGUAAAGAAGCACCGGCUAACUACGUG